RNAcentral lists this transfer RNA (74 nucleotides) under Keratoisis sp. 20 LFD-2014. RNAcentral describes it as "tRNA-Met". The record is from RNAcentral. Lineage: Eukaryota; Metazoa; Cnidaria; Anthozoa; Scleralcyonacea; Keratoisididae.
UGUGUAGCGCCCCUAACGGUGCGUUUUCAGACUCAUAGUCUGAAUUAUGCGGGUGUCAGCUCCUGCCUCUCCCU